GUGGGGGAUAUUGCGCAAUGGGGGAAACCCUGACGCAGCAACGCCGCGUGAAGGAAGAAGGCCUUCGGGUUGUAAACUUUUGUCUUUUGGGAAGAAGAAUGACGGUACCAAAGGAGGAAGCCACGGCUAACUACGUGCCAGCAGCCGCGGUAAUACGUAGGUGGCGAGCGUUGUCCGGAAUUACUGGGUGUAAAGGGCGUGUAGGCGGGUAGAUAAGUCAGAUGUGAAAUACCGGGGCUCAACCCCGGGGCUGCAUUUGAAACUGUCAAUCUUGAGUGCCGGAGAGGAAAGCGGAAUUCCUAGUGUAGCGGUGAAAUGCGUAGAUAUUAGGAGGAACACCAGUGGCGAAGGCGGCUUUCUGGACGGUAACUGACGCUGAGGCGCGAAAGCGUGGGGAGCAAACAGG
Molecule: ribosomal RNA, 406 nt
Filed under: uncultured bacterium
Lineage: Bacteria
Also listed under: 1 other name
Description: bacterial SSU rRNA
Rfam family: Bacterial small subunit ribosomal RNA
Source: RNAcentral